Long non-coding RNA from Aquila chrysaetos chrysaetos, 189 nucleotides. RefSeq lists it as uncharacterized. The transcript has 2 exons. The record is from RefSeq and is a predicted model, not a curated record. Lineage: Eukaryota; Metazoa; Chordata; Aves; Accipitriformes; Accipitridae.
CCUGAUGGCACCAGGGACGGUAUAAAAGCAGAACAGGACACAGUUCUUGCCUCCAGAAGUUUCUAAGUCCAAUGAGACACGCAAUGCUGUAAAAGGAGACAGAACACAAAGAGUCAACAGUGUCAGAGAAAGUCCCUCACAAGUGGGACAUUCAGUGCUACAAAAGAGAUUAUGUGUCUGAACUCACUU